GUUGCUUAAAGCUAAAUUGUGGAAAAACUGUAAGAGAUAUCAAAAAACUGAGUACAACUGUAAUAGUCGACAAGUGAAUGAACAUUUUAAAGCAAAAAUGAGGUCUCUAGGUGAAAGUAUGCUGAAGUUAUAAGGUCUAGAAGGUGGAAGAAUAAAAGGAAGAAUUGGAAGAUUUCCCCAUUGACUUCAAUGUUAAAAUUUUUGCACAAAAACUAAAAAAAAAAAAAAAGUAUAAAUGUUAGAAAAGUGAAAAGUAAUAGCAAACGUGUCCUGAAGGAGUGGAAUAGUUUAAAGUUUGAACGGUUGAAAUCGCACAAACUGGGAAGGAGUUGAAAGCGGACGAAAAACGGCGGAAGAAUAAUAAUAAUAAUAAUAAUAAUAACAAUAAUAAAGAAACGGGAGAAUAACAAUAAGUGGAAAUGCCUAUCAGCAUUUCCACUUAACUAGAAAAAUUGCAUUUCCUUGCAGAAAAUGCGUGGAAAUGCUGAGUGCUGAAAGCUGAAAAAGCAAUGCAAAACUGCCAAUAAAAAAUGGAGGAAGGUAUAAACGGAAAAACUGUAGAAAAGGUGGAGUAGAAGAAGAAGAAAUUGUAUCAAUGGAAGAAUUGUAGUAUAGCUGGAGGUAAAUUAGUUGGAUUAAUGUACAAAUUGUCUGACAGCCUAAGUGAAAAAUGUAUAUGAUUGAUGUGAAUAAACAGAACUGAUAUGGAUAAUUGAAUUUGAAAAACAAAUGCCUUUAAACAAUGUGUAACAAUGUUCCUAUUAAAUGUACAAAUAGUAAAACAGAUUUUUGCAGUCUGCAGCAUCCAACCAUAGUAACUUGAGAAUGCAGAACAGCACCAUCUAUUGCCCUGCUUCAGUUACUGCCCUACAUCUGAAUGCAGAAAGUAUGAAACAGCUGAAGUUAAAUUAAUUGUAUAAAUGUAGAAAGUAUAGAAAAGAAAAGCAGAAGUAGAAGAAAAAGAAGAAGUUAGUAUGUUAAAAGAGUUAAAGACAAGAACUGUAACAACAAAGUUCAUAUUGGGGCUGUAUUUUCUACUGACAGAGAGACAGUAAUGCACACAUGGAAACAGUGUGUGUGUGUGUGUGUGUGUGUGUGUGUGUGUGUGUGUGUGUGUGUGUGCCCGCGCGCGCGCGCGGCCGAGCCCGUGCGUGUGCAUAUGCGUGUGUGAUCGAAGCACACAGCCCAUGACAAGUGCAGAAUCUGACAGAGACAGUAAGAGAGAAAGAGACACAGUAAUGCACUCAUGGAAACAGUGUGUGUGUAUGUGUGUGUGCCCGCGCGCGCGCGCGGCCGAGCCCGUGCGUGUGCAUAUGCGUGUGUGAUCGAAGCACACAGCCCAUGACAAGUGCAGAAUCUGACAGAGACAGUAAGAGAGAAAGAGACACAGUAAUGCACUCAUGGAAACAGUGUGUGUGUAUGUGUGUGUGCCCGCGCGCGCGCGCGGCCGAGCCCGUGCGUGUGCAUAUGCGUGUGUGAUCGAAGCACACAGCCCAUGACAAGUGCAGAAUCUGACAGAGACAGUAAGAGAGAAAGAGACACAGUAAUGCACUCAUGGAAACAGUGUGUGUGUGUGUGUGUGUGUGCCCGCGCGCGCACGAGCGGCCGAGUCCGUGCGUGUGCAUGUGCGAUCGAAGCAGACAGCCCAUGACAAGUGCAGAAUCUCUGGCUCUGAAGGAAUGUACUCACCUCCUGGGCAAGCUGUACAAUUUCAUGACUUCAGACCGAUUUUGUGAGAAGCAGGACGAGUGUACCUCCAUUUUGAUGUGUUUUUUAUGGCUGUGGAGUGAAAAUUGCGGCCGCAGCAGCAAAAUAAUCAUGCUUGGUGUAGUGAAUCCAAAAGGCCCCGCCCGCAUCUAGCGGUGACGUAACAUCUGACGUCACACGCUGUAGCGUGAGUCAGGCUGAAAAAGGCAGAGAACUUCAUGUUGCUCCAAGCGAAAUUGUGCAAAAACGGUAGGAAAUAGCAAAAAGGAGUGAAUACAACAUUUGUAGCAGACACGUUGCUGAACAUUUUAAAGCAAAAAUGAGGUCUGUAGGUGAAAGUAUGCAGAAGUUAUAAGGGUGAGAAGGUGUUAUAGCUGUAUCUCCAUUCAUUUGUAAUGGAACAAAUUUUGCAGAAAAAGUGAAAUAUUGCAAAAAGUAUAAAUGGUAGAAAGGUGAAAAGUAAUAGCCGUAAUGUCCUGAAGGAGUGCAUUAGUAUAAAGUUUGAAUGGUGAAAAUAGCACAAAGUGGUGAGGAGUUGAAAAGGGCCAAAAAAGGUACGGAAGAAUAAUAAUAAUAAUAAUAAUAACUAGAAAAAUUGCAUUUCCUUGCAGAAAAUGCGUGGAAAUGCUGAGUGCUGAAAGCUGAAAAAGCAAUGCAAAACUGCCAAUAAAAAAUGGAGGAAGGUAUAAACGGAAAAACUGUAGAAAAGGUGGAGUAGAAGAAGAAGAAAUUGUAUGAAUGGAAGAAUUGUAGUAUAGCUGGAGGUAAAUUAGUUGGAUUAAUGUACAAAUUGUCUGAUAGCCUAAGUGAAAAAUGUAUAUGAUUGAUGUGAAUAAACAGAACUGAUAUGGAUAAUUGAAUUUGAAAAACAAAUGCCUUUAAACAAUAUGUAACAAUGUUCCUAUUAAAUGUACAAAUAGUAAAACAGAUUUUUGCAGUCUGCAGCAUCCAACCAUAGUAACUUGAGAAUGCAGAACAGCACCAUCUAUUGCCCUGCUUCAGUUACUGCCCUACAUCUGAAUGUAGAAAGUAUGAAACAGCUGAAGUUAAAUUAAUUGUAUAAAUGUAGAAAGUAUAGAAAAGAAAAGCAGAAGUAGAAGAAAAAGAAGAAGUUAGUAUGUUAAAAGAGUUAAAGACAAGAACUGUAACAACAAAGUUCAUAUUGGGGCUGUAUUUUCUACUGACAGAGAGACAGUAAUGCACACAUGGAAACAGUGUGUGUGUGUGUGAAUACAACUUUUGUAGCAGACACGUUGCUGAACAUUUUAAAGCAAAAAUGAGGUCUGUAGGUGAAAGUAUGCAGAAGUUAUAAGGGUGAGAAGGUGUUAUAGCUGUAUCUCCAUUCAUUUGUAAUGGAACAAAUUUUGCAGAAAAAGUGAAAUAUUGCAAAAAGUAUAAAUGGUAGAAAGGUGAAAAGUAAUAGCCGUAAUGUCCUGAAGGAGUGCAUUAGUAUAAAGUUUGAAUGGUGAAAAUAGCACAAAGUGGUAAGGAGUUGAAAAGGGCCAAAAAAGGUACGGAAGAAUAAUAAUAAUAAAGAAAUAGUAGAAUAACAAUAAGUGGAAAUGCUGUGUCAGCAUUUCCACUUAAUAAUAAAGAAAUAGUAGAAUAACAAUAAGUGGAAAUGCUGUGUCAGCAUUUCCACUUAACUAGAAAAAUUGCAUUUCCUUGCAGAAAAUGCGUGGAAAUGCUGAGUGCUGAAAGCUGAAAAAGCAAUGCUAAACUGCUAAUAAAACAUGGAGAAAGGUAUAAAUAUUAAAGCUGUUGAAGGGGUGAGAAAGAAAUGUAAGUUGGAUAAUUGAUUAAUUGGUUGAAGGACAAAUAGUAUGAAUAUGCUCUAUAAAAGGAAAUUCUAUUCAUGCUGAAAGAGGCUAGAAAAAUGUCUAAAAUUGCACAAAGUUUGAAUGAAGAAGGAAAUUGCCUUAAAAGGCAGGAAGGUGAGAAGUGGCAUAAGUUUAAGUUGUAGUACUAGAAGUAGUAUAAGAGGUCAAGUCGUGAUACUAGUAGUCACGUCAGCAGUAGAAGUAGUUUGAGAGUAAAAGAAGUAUAAGUCAAAGUAGUAGAGAAAGUAGAAAUAGUAGCAAUAGCAGCAGUAGAGAAAGUAGAAAUAGGAGCAAUAGCAGUUGAAGUAGAGGGGAAAGUACUAGUUUAAUUGACAUUAGCAGUAGUUGUAAUACUUGAGGUAGGAUUUUGUUUGAAGGAUGGAAUAAUGCAUAAAUAUUAAAAUUAAUUUAAAACAGGGAAAAUUUAAAUAAUUAAAAAUCCUCAAGUAUCAGAAAGUUUUAAAGUAUUAGAAAGGUUUGAAUGAGUUUAAAUUAGUUUGAAAAAAAAUUAAAUGAUAAAUCAUCACUGAGUGACUUUAAAAUGUGAAAAAUGUAAAUGAAUAUAAAUCCUAAAUACACCCCAUAAUGUCCUCAAUGAGCUUAAAUUUUAAAGCCCUGAAUGGUUUCUGUAGGUCAAAGGUCAUGUCAUGUCAUGGAGAUAGGGGCUGAAGUUUUUUCAAGCGCUCUAGUAAAGGGUUUUAAGUGUCAUCCCCAGUGCUAUGGGUGCUGAGCCUGGCUUCAUGUGUCUCAUAUGGCCAUUAGAAGCAGCUUUCCAGUCAGCUGUGUGUCUCCAGGUGCACUAAUUGGUUGCCAUGCGGACCUUGGAUGCAUAACUAUAGCAGGAGAAAGAAGGCUUGAAGCUAAGGAAACAGGACUCCAAGUAGGCCCUGACGCUCAUCCUCUGUAUCUAUUCCUGAUAAGGAGCUUGUGAGAACACAAGACUCUGCUAAACACAUUAAUACAAUUUAUUAUCACAAUCCUCAAAACACCCCAUAAUAUCUUCAAUGAGCUGAAUUUUAGAAGCCCAGAAUGGUUUCUAUAGCUCAAAGUUUGUGGGUGGAGAUAGGUGGCGAAGCAGACACAUAUUAACUGUGUGUACAAGCAGCUGAACUGCAAGGUGGACCUCAAAAAGCAACAAGUACAAGAAUGUGUGUGCGUGUGUGUGUGUGUGUCUCGUUAAUGACUGCAUCCUAAACAGCUGUGAGAUCAAAGGCAAAUCACUAACCUACUGUUUGACUGAGAGGUGCUGAACUGCAGUGAAUUUCAGCCUGUGAACUUCUUCACAUAGCGUGAUUUCCUUAAGUCCCAGAAUGAAAAUAAGAACAUCGUAUGAAUCCUCCGUCCUUCAUGAACACAAUGAUGUGUUUUUCAUGUAUGUACUUCGAAAAAUGAGGCCACAACAGCAAGUUAAAAAAGUCUGAGCCUGAGCGAUGAUCCGGAUUUUCUUGGAGAAAAAUAACAUUAUGGUCAAUGGGAGAGAUUUCCGCCUUCCUUGGACAGUUGGUCACCUGCUGGCCAAGGGGUACGAUUUAAUGAUUUGAAACCUCUUUUGUGAGAAGCAGGACACAUAUACCUCCAUUUUGAUGUAUUAUUUAUCGCUGUGGAGUGAGAUUUGUGGGCAUGGGAGCGAUAUAUUCGAGCGAGGUUCUGUCGAUCAGAGACGAGGUCUGCACUCUAGCUGAUGACAUCAUCACUCUAAACUCUCCAAUACACACCCAUUAUAAAGCUUGAAAUUUGCUGAAAACCACAAGUUGCUUAAAGCUAAAUUGUGGAAAAACUGUAAAAGAUAUCAAAAAACUGAGUACAACUAUAAUAGUCGACAAGUGAAUGAACAUUUUAAAGCAAAAAUGAGGUUUCUAGGUGAAAGUAUGCUGAAGUUAUAAGGUCUAGAAAGUGGAAGAAUAAAAGGAAGGAGUGGAAGAUUUCCCCAUUGACUUCAAUGUUAAAAUUUUUGCACAAAAAGUUAAAAAAAACAAAAAGUAUAAAAGGUAGAAAGGUAAAAAGUACAAGCAAACAUGUCCUGAAGGAGUGGAAUAGUUUAAAGUUUGAACGGUUGAAAUCGGACAAAGUUUGAAGGAGUUGAAAGCGGACGAAAAACGGCGGAAGAAAAAUAAUAAUAACUAGAAAAAUUGCAUUUCCUUGCAGAAAAUGCGUGGAAAUGCUGAGUGCUGAAGCUGAAAAAGCAAUGCUAAACUGCUAAUAAAACAUGGAGAAAGGUAUAAAUGUUAAGGCUGUUGAAGGAGUGAAAAAGAAAUAUAGGUUGGACAAUUGUUUAAUUGGUUGAAGGACAAAUAGUAUGAAUAUGCUCCAAAAAAGGAAAUUUUAUUCAUGGUGAAAGAGGCUAGAAAAAUGUCUAAAAUUGCACAAAGUUUGAAUGAAGAAGGAAAUUGCCUUAAAAGGCAGGAAGGUGAGAAGUGGCAUAACUUUAAGUUGUAGUACUAGAAGUAGUAUGAUAAGAAGUCAAGUCGUGAUACUAGUAGUCAUGUCAGCAGUAGAAGUAGUUUGAGAAUGAAAGAAGAAUGAGUCAAAGUAGUAAAGAAAGUUGAAAUAGUAGCAAUAGCAGCAGUAGAGAAAGUAGAAAUAGGAGCAAUAGCAGUUGAAGUAGAGGGGAAAGUUCUAGUUUAAUUGACAUUAGCAGUAGUUGUAGUACUUGAGGUAGGAUUUUGUUUGAAGGAUGGAGUAAUGCAUGAAUAUUAAAAUUAAUUUAAAACAUGGAAAAUUUAAAUACUUAAAAAUCCUCAAGUAUCAGUUUGAAUGAGUUUAAAUUUGUUUGAAAAAUUAAAUGAUAAAUCAUCAAUGAGUGACUUAUAAAAGUGAAAAAUUUAAAUGAAUAUAAAUCCUGAAUACACCCCAUAAUGUCCUCAAUGAGCUUAAAUUUUAAAGCCCUGAAUGGUUUCUGUAGGUCAAAGGUCAUGUGAGGAGAUAGGGGCUUAGGUUUUUUCAAGCGCUCUAGUAAAGGGUUGUAAGUGUCACCCCCAGUGUUAUGUGUACUGAGCCUGGCUUCAUGUGUCUCACAUGGCCAUUAGAAGCAGCUUUCAAGUCAGCUGUGUGUCUCCAGGUGCACAAAUUGGUUGCCAUGGGGACCUUGGAUGCAUAACUAUAGCAGGAGAAAGAAGGCUUGAAGCUAAGGAAACAGGACUCCAAGUAGGCCCUGACACUCAUCCUCUGUAUAUAUUCAUAAGGAGCUAGUGAGAACACAAGACUCUGCUGAACACAUUAAUACAAUUUAUUAUCACAAUCCUCAAAACAUCCCAUAAUAUCUUCAAUGAGCUGAAUUUUUCAAGCCCAGAAUGGUUUCUGUAGCUCAAAGUUUGUGGGUGGAGAUAGGUGGUGAAGCAGACACAUAUUACCUGUGUGUACAAGCAGCUGAACUGCAAGGUAGACCUGACAGCAAAAAGUACAAGAAUGUGUGUGUGUGUGUGUGUCUCGUUAAUGACUGCAUCCUGAACAGCUGUGAGAUCAAAGGCAAAUCACUGACCUACUGUUUGAAUGAGAAGCAGCUGAACUGCAGAGGAUUUAAACCAUGUGAACUUCUUCACAUAGUGUGAUUUCCUUAAGUCCCAGAAUGAAAAUAAGAACAUCGUACGAAUCCUCCGUCCUUCAUGAACACAAUGAUGUGUUUUUCAUGUCUGUACUUCGAAAAAUGAGGCCACAACAGCGAGUUAAAAAAGUCUGAGCCUGAGCGAUGAUCCGGAUUUUCUUGGAGAAAAAUAACAUUAUGGUCAAUGGGAGAGAUUUCCGCCUUCCUUGGACAGUUGGUCACCUGCUGGCCAAGGGGUACAAUUUAAUGAUUUGAAACGUCUUUUGUGAGAAGCAGGACACAUAUACCUCCAUUUUGAUGUAUUAUUUGUGUCAGUGGAGUGAGAUUUGUGGGCGUGGGAGCGGUAUAUUCGAGCGAGGUUCUGUCGAUCAGAGACGAGGUCUGCACUCUAGCUGAUGACAUCAUCUCUCUAAACUCUCCAAUACACACCCAUUAUAAAGCCUGAAAAUUUGCUGAAAACCACAAGUUGCUUAAAGCUAAAUUGUGGAAAAACUGUACAAGAUAUCAAAAAACUGAGCACAACUUUAAUAGUCGACAAGUGAAUGAACAUUUUAAAGCAAAAAUGAGGUCUCUAGGUGAAAGUAUGCUGAAGUUAUUAGGUCUAGAAGGUGGAAGAAUAAAAGGAAGAAGUGGAACAUUUCCCCAUUCAUUUCUAUGGGAAAAAAAGUUUGGCACAAAAAGUGAAAAAUAAUAAAAAGUACAAAGGAUAGAAAGGAAAAAAAUACAAGCACACAUGUCCUGAUGGAGUGGAAUAGUUUAAAGUUUGAACGGUUGAAAUCGGACAAAGUUUGAAGGAGGAGAAGCGGUCCAAAGAAACGUAUGGGGAGAGUGUUAAGUAUAAUACUAGAAAAAUUGCAUUUCCUUGCAGAAAAUGCGUGGAAAUGCUGAGUGCUGAAAGCUGAAAAAGCAAUGCUAAACUGCUAAUAAAACAUGGAGAAAUGUAUAAAUGUUAAAGCUGUUGAAGGGGUGUGAAAGAAAUGUAAGUUGGAUAAUUGAUUAAUUGGUUGAAGGACAAAUAGUAUGAAUAUGCUCUAUAAAAAGAAAUUUGAUUCAUGCUGAAAGAGGCUAGAAAAAUGUCUAAAAUUGCACAAAGUUUGAAUGAAGAAGGAAAUUGCCUUAAAAGGCAGGAAGGUGGGAAGUGGCAUAAGUUUAAUUUUUUAAGUAUUAGAAAGGUUUGAAUCAGUUUGAAUCAGUUCAAAUUAGUUUGAAAAAUUAAAUGAUAAAUCAUCACUGAGUGACUUUAAAAUGUGAAAAAUCUAAAUGUAUAAAAAUCCUAAAUACACCCCAUAAUGUCCUCAAUGAGCUCAAAUUUUAAAGCCCCGAAUGGUUUCUGUAGGUCAAAUGUCAUGUGAGGAGAUAGGGGCUGAAGUUUUUUCAAGCGCUCUAGUAAAGGGUUUUAAGUGUCAUCCCCAGUGCUAUGUGUACUGAGCCUGGCUUCAUGUGUCUCAUAUGGCCAUCAGAAGCAGCUUUCCAGUCAGCUGUGUGUCUCCAGGUGCACUAAUUGGUUGCCAUGGGGACCUUGGAUGCAUAACUAUAGCAGGAGAAAGAAGGCUUGAAGCUAAGGAAACAGGACUCCAAGUAGGCCCUGACGCUCAUCCUCUGUAUCUAUUCCUGAUAAGGAGCUUAUGAGAACACAAGACUCUGCUAAACACAUUAAUACAAUUUAUUAUCACAAUCCUCAAAACACCCCAUAAUAUCUUCAAUGAGCUGAAUUUUAGAAGCCCAGAAUGGUUUCUGUAGCUCAAAGUUUGUGGGUGGAGAUAGGUGGCGAAGCAGACACAUAUUAACUGUGUGUACAAGCAGCUGAACUGCAAGGUAGACCUCAUAAAGCAACAAGUACAAGAAUGUGUGUGUGUGUGUGUCUCGUUAAUGACUGCAUCCUAAACAGCUGUGAGAUCAAAGGCAAAUCACUGACCUACUGUUUGAAUGAGAAGCAGCUGAACUGCAGAGGAUUUAGAGGCUCUAAACUUCUUCACAUAGCGUGAUUUCCUUAAGUCACAGAAUGAAAAUAAGAACAUCGUACGAAUCCUCCGCCCUUCAUGAACACAAUGAUGUGUUUUUCAUGUCUGUACUCCGACAAAUGUGGCCACAACAGCGAGUUAAAAAAGUCUGAGCCUGAGCGAUGAUCCGGAUUUUCUUGGAGAAAAAUAACAUUACGGUCAAUCGGAGAGAUUUCCGCCUUCUUUGGACAGUUGGUCACCUGCUGGCCAAGGGGUACGAUUUAAUGAUUUGAAACCUCUUUUGUGAGAAGCAGGACACAUAUACCUCCAUUUUGAUGUAUUAUUUGUGUCAGUGGAGUGAGAUUUGUGGGCGUGGGAGCGAUAUAUUCGAGCGAGGUUCUGUCGAUCAGAGACGAGGUCUGCACUCUAGCUGAUGACAUCAUCACUCUAAACUCUCCAAUACACACCCAUUAUAAAGCUUGAAAUUUGCUGAAAACCACAAGUUGCUUAAAGCUUAAUUGUGGAAAAACUGUAAGAGAUAUCAAAAAACUGAGUACAACUGUAAUAGUCGACAAGUGAAUGAACAUUUUAAAGCAAAAAUGAGGUCUCUAGGUGAAAGUAUGCUGAAGUAGUAAGGCUUAGAAGGUGGAAGAGUAAAAGGUAGAAUUUUAAGAUUUCCCCAUUCAUUUUUAAUGGUACAAAUUUUGCACAAAAAGUUAAAAAAAACCAAAAGUAUAAAGGGUAGAAAGGAAAAAAAUACAAGCCCUCAUGUCCUGAAGGAGUGGAAUAGUUUAAAGUUUGAACGGUUUAAAUAGCACAAAAUUUGAAGGAGGAGAUAGCGGACAAAAAUUGGCGGAAGAAUAAUAAUAAUAAUAAAGAAAAUGGCCGACAGGAAUAACAAUAAGUGGAAAUGCUUAAUCAGCAUUUCCACUUAACUAG
RNAcentral lists this long non-coding RNA (9947 nucleotides) under Xyrichtys novacula (pearly razorfish). Lineage: Eukaryota; Metazoa; Chordata; Actinopteri; Labriformes; Labridae. The record is from RNAcentral.